AGUGAACGCUGGCGGUAGGCCUAACACGUGCCAGUCGAACGGCAGCACAGUAAGAGCUUGCUCUUACGGGUGGCGAGUGGCGGACGGGUGAGGAAUACAUCGGAAUCUACUUUUUCGUGGGGGAUAACGUAGGGAAACUUACGCUAAUACCGCAUACGACCUACGGGUGAAAGCAGUGGAUCUUCGGACCUUGCGCGAUUGAAUGAGCCGAUGUCGGAUUAGCUAGUUGGCGGGGUAAAGGCCCACCAAGGCGACGAUCCGUUGCUGGUCUGAGAGGAUGAUCAGCCACACUGGAACUUAGACACGGUCCAGACGCCUACGGGAGGGAGCAGUGGGGAAUAUUGGACAAUGGGCGCAAGCCUGAUCCAGCCAUCCCGCGUGGGUGAAGAAGGCCUUCGGGUUGUAAAGCCCUUUUGUUGGGAAAGAAAAGCAGCAGGUUAAUACCCCGCUGUUCUGACGGUACCCAAAGAAUAAGCACCGGCUAACUUCGUG
Molecule: ribosomal RNA, 492 nt
Filed under: uncultured bacterium
Lineage: Bacteria
Description: partial 16S ribosomal RNA
Rfam family: Bacterial small subunit ribosomal RNA
Source: RNAcentral